This 164-nucleotide ribosomal RNA is filed under the name Chascolytrum brasilense. Its description in RNAcentral is "5.8S ribosomal RNA". It matches the Rfam family "5.8S ribosomal RNA". From Rfam's summary of the family: 5.8S ribosomal RNA (5.8S rRNA) is a component of the large subunit of the eukaryotic ribosome. It is transcribed by RNA polymerase I as part of the 45S precursor that also contains 18S and 28S rRNA. Lineage: Eukaryota; Viridiplantae; Streptophyta; Magnoliopsida; Poales; Poaceae. The record is from RNAcentral.
CCACACGACUCUCGGCAACGGAUAUCUCGGCUCUCGCAUCGAUGAAGAACGUAGCAAAAUGCGAUACCUGGUGUGAAUUGCAGAAUCCCGCAAACCAUCGAGUUUUUGAACGCAAGUUGCGCCCGAGGCCUUCUGGCUGAGGGCACGCCUGCCUGGGCGUCACG